GAUGAACGCUGGCGGCGUGCCUAAUACAUGCAAGUCGAGCGAACGGACGAGAAGCUUGCUUCUCUGUUGUUAGCCGCGGACGGGUGAGUCACACGUGGAUAACCUCCCUAUAAGACUGGGAUAACUUCGGGAAACCGGCGCUAAUCCCGGAUAAUAUUUUGAACCGCAUGGUUCAAUAGUGAAAGACGGUCUUGCUGUCACUUCUAGAUGGAUCCGCGCUGCAUUAGCUAGUUGGUAAGGUAACGGCUUACCAAGGCGACGAUGCAUAGCCGACCUGAGAGGGUGAUCGGCCACACUGGAACUGAGACACGGUCCAGACUCCUACGGGAGGCAGCAGUAGGGAAUCUUCCGCAAUAGGCGAAAGCCUGGCGGAGCAACGCCGCGUGAGUGAUGAAGGUCUUCGGAUCGUAAAGCUCUGUUAUUAGGGAAGAACAUAUGUGUAAGUAACUGUGCACAUCUUGACGGUACCUAAUCAGAAAGCCACGGCUAACUACGUG
Molecule: ribosomal RNA, 497 nt
Filed under: uncultured bacterium
Lineage: Bacteria
Description: partial 16S ribosomal RNA
Rfam family: Bacterial small subunit ribosomal RNA
Source: RNAcentral